ACGGCUCAGUAACACGUGGCUAAUCUGCCCUUAGGACGAGAACAACCCGGGGAAACUGGGGCUAACUCUUGAUAGGUGAAGAACUCUGGAAUGAGUCUUUGCCUAAAAAGAUUCACGUUAUCCUCGUGAACCUGCCUAAGGAUGAGGCCGCGACCGAUCAGGUUGUUGGCGAGGUAAUGGCUCACCAAGCCUUUUACCGGUGCGGGCCGUGGGAGCGGGAGCCCGGAGAUGGGUACUGAGACAAGGACCCAGGCCCUACGGGGCGCAGCAGUCGCGAAACCUUUGCAAUACACGGAAGUGUGACAGGGCUAUCCCGAGUGCCAUCCGCUGAGGAAGGCUUUUACCCAGUCUAGAACGCUGGGGGAAUAAGGAGAGGGCAAGUCUGGUGUCAGCCGCCGCGGUAAUACCAGCUCUCCGAGUGGUGUGGAUGUUUAUUGGGCCUAAAGCAUCCGUAGCUGGCUAGGUAAGUCCCUUGUUAAAUCCACCGAAUUAAUCGUUGGAUCGCGGGGGAUACUGCUUGGCUAGGGGACGAGAGAGGCAGACGGUAUUUUCGGGGUAGGGGUGAAAUCCUAUAAUCCCGGGAAGACCACCAGUGGCGAAGGCUGUCUGCUAGAACGCGCCCGACGGUGAGGGAUGAAAGCUGGGGGAGCGAACCGGAUUAGAUACCCGGGUAGUCCCAGCUGUAAACGAUGCAGACUAGGUGUUUGGACGGCCACGUGCCGUUCUAGUGCCGCAGGGAAGCUGUUAAGUCUGCCGCCUGGGGAGUACGAUCGCAAGAUUGAAACUUAAAGGAAUUGGCGGGGGAGCAC
RNAcentral lists this ribosomal RNA (809 nucleotides) under uncultured archaeon. RNAcentral's name for it is "bacterial SSU rRNA". It matches the Rfam family "Archaeal small subunit ribosomal RNA", at positions 85 to 879 of the family's 1478-position model. The record is from RNAcentral.